ACUUAGACCAGUGGGGUUGGUUGGUUGUAUGGCUAAGUAACGAUAGGGAUUGGUUCAUAAAUUCACUAUCGGAUACGAGUCGUUGAACGAAUGGAGUAAGGCGACAAACGGGCUAAGGAAUCAAAUCCGCAUAUUGGCCAAGGUAUGUAACGAUCUAGCUUAUUAGUUAAGAUAGUCGUUUGGUAAUU
This 188-nucleotide small RNA is filed under the name Arabidopsis thaliana (thale cress). Its description in RNAcentral is "ATSL200090". Lineage: Eukaryota; Viridiplantae; Streptophyta; Magnoliopsida; Brassicales; Brassicaceae. The record is from RNAcentral.